AGUGAACGCUGGCGGUAGGCCUAACACAUGCAAGUCGAACGGCAGCACAGAGGAGCUUGCUCCUUGGGUGGCGAGUCGCGGACGGGUGAGGAAUACAUCGGAAUCUACUCUGUCGUGGGGGAUAACGUAGGGAAACUUACGCUAAUACCGCAUACGACCUACGGGUGAAAGCAGGGGACCUUCGGGCCUUGCGCGAUUGAAUGAGCCGAGGUCGGAUUAGCUAGUUGGCGGGGUAAAGGCCCACGAAGGCGACGAUCCGUAGCUGGUCUGAGAGGAUGAUCAGCCACACUGGAACUGAGACACGGUCCAGACUCCUACGGGAGGCAGCAGUGGGGAAUAUUGGACAAUGGGCGCAAGCCUGAUCCAGCCAUACCGCGUGGGUGAAGAAGGCCUUCGGGUUGUAAAGCCCUUUUGUUGGGAAAGAAAUCCAGCUGGCUAAUACCCGGUUGGGAUGACGGUACCCAAAGAAUAAGCACCGGCUAACUUCGUGCCAGCCGCCGCCGUAA
RNAcentral lists this ribosomal RNA (506 nucleotides) under uncultured bacterium. Its description in RNAcentral is "partial 16S ribosomal RNA". It matches the Rfam family "Bacterial small subunit ribosomal RNA", at positions 29 to 523 of the family's 1533-position model. The record is from RNAcentral.